CUGGAGUGAGGAAGAACUUGGACCCUGGAGGCCAAGUGUGACCCCAUCACAGAGCUCCUGUGGGAGGGCCACGGCCCUGCCCACUGCUGCUUUGGUCCAGGAACAUUGAUGCUUCUCGUCUCUCCUCUCUCCCCUAGGCCUGCAGGACAAGCUGAACAAGAGGGACAAAGAGGUGACAGCCUUGACCUCCCAGACCGAGAUGCUCAGGGCCCAAGUAAGUGCGCUGGAGAGCAAGUGUAAGUCGGGCGAGAAGAAGAUGGACGCCCUCCUGAAGGAGAAGCGGCGCCUGGAGGCCGAGCUGGAGACCGUGUCCCGGAAGACCCACGAUGCCUCGGGCCAGCUAGUCCUCAUCAGCCAGGAGUUGCUGCGGAAGGAGCGGUGAGGCGGCCGUGGGGCCGGCUGGGUCCUCCCUGUGGCUUUGGUCCUUGCUCCACUUCUUGACAUUAGCUCAUGUUGUCUUGGGACAGAGAGCGGGCAGAGCUGGUGGGCCAGGUGGCUGAUCUCGAGCGAUCACCCUGCUCUCCUCUAAGCUCCAAUAAAGUCUCCAAAG
This 550-nucleotide small RNA is filed under the name Pongo abelii (Sumatran orangutan). RNAcentral describes it as "retained intron". Lineage: Eukaryota; Metazoa; Chordata; Mammalia; Primates; Hominidae. The record is from RNAcentral.